RNAcentral lists this ribosomal RNA (483 nucleotides) under uncultured bacterium. Its description in RNAcentral is "partial 16S ribosomal RNA". It matches the Rfam family "Bacterial small subunit ribosomal RNA", at positions 30 to 506 of the family's 1533-position model. The record is from RNAcentral.
AUUGAACGCUGGCGGCAGGCCUAACACAUGCAAGUCGAGCGGAUGAAGGGAGCUUGCUCCUGGAUUCAGCGGCGGACGGGUGAGUAAUGCCUAGGAAUCUGCCCGGUAGUGGGGGAUAACGUCCGGAAACGGGCGCUAAUACCGCAUACGUCCUGAGGGAGAAAGUGGGGGAUCUUCGGACCUCACGCUAUCAGAUGAGCCUAGGUCGGAUUAGCUAGUUGGUGGGGUAAAGGCCUACCAAGGCGACGAUCCGUAACUGGUCUGAGAGGAUGAUCAGUCACACUGGAACUGAGACACGGUCCAGACUCCUACGGGAGGCAGCAGUGGGGAAUAUUGGACAAUGGGCGAAAGCCUGAUCCAGCCAUGCCGCGUGUGUGAAGAAGGUCUUCGGAUUGUAAAGCACUUUAAGUUGGGAGGAAGGGCAGUAAGUUAAUACCUUGCUGUUUUGACGUUACCAACAGAAUAAGCACCGGCUAACUUCGU